This 774-nucleotide ribosomal RNA is filed under the name uncultured Neocallimastigales. Its description in RNAcentral is "partial large subunit ribosomal RNA". It matches the Rfam family "Eukaryotic large subunit ribosomal RNA", at positions 24 to 644 of the family's 3401-position model. Lineage: Eukaryota; Fungi; Neocallimastigomycota; Neocallimastigomycetes; Neocallimastigales. The record is from RNAcentral.
UAUGUGAUCGUCUCUCGCAUAUCAAUAAGCGGAGGAAAAGAAACUAACAAGGAUUCCCCUAGUAACGGCGAGUGAAGCGGGAAGAGCUCAAAUUUGAAAUCUUAAAGGGUUUCCCUUUACGAAUUGUAGUUUAAAGAAGUGUUUUCUGUUGAGGUUUUGGUAAAAGUUCUUUGGAAUAGGACAUCAUAGAGGGUGAGAAUCCCGUAUUUGACCUUUACUUUCAACUUUGUGAUACACUUUCAAAGAGUCGGAUUGUUUGGGAAUGCAGUCCAAAAUGGGUGGUAAAUUUCAUCUAAAGCUAAAUAUUGGCGAGAGACCGAUAGCGAACAAGUACCGUGAGGGAAAGAUGAAAAGAACUUUGAAAAGAGAGUUAAACAGUACGUGAAAUUGUCAAAAGGGAAGCGUUUGACACCAGUGUUGUUUUUCUGAAAAUCAAUUAAAGAACUGUUUAUGCUAAGCUGUUUAGACUUUAUCAGCUAUCUGUUUAGUUUUGAGCUUUUCUUUAAUGCACUUUUCAGUUAACAAGUCAACAUCAAUUUCUUUUGCUGUAAAAAAGCUUGAGGAAGGUGGCUUGAGAUUCGUCUUAAGUGUUUAUAGCCUCUUGCCUAUGCAGUCGGAGAGAUUGAGGUCUGCAGCGUAGAUCCUUCGGGGCUAAAUGCAUUUGUGCUAAGUUAUAGCAUUUUAUAGACAACUUGUUGACUAUGAUUUGUCUUGUAGCUUACUCGCUUAUGUUAUUUUACCUACGCUUAGGAUGUUGACUGAUAUGUAGUCGUA